GAUGAACGCUAGCGGCAGGCCUAAUACAUGCAAGUCGGACGGGAUUCAGGAGCUUGCUUCUGAUGAGAGUGGCGCACGGGUGCGUAACACGUAUGUAACCUACCUUUAUCAGGGGGAUAGCCUCUCGAAAGAGAGAUUAAGCCCGCAUAAAAUCACAGCACAGCAUUGUGUAAUGAUCAAAUAUUUAUAGGAUAAAGAUGGGCAUGCGGAACAUUAGCUAGAUGGCGGGGUAACGGCCCACCAUGGCGACGAUGUUUAGGGGAUCUGAGAGGAUGGCCCCCCACACUGGUACUGAGACACGGACCAGACUCCUACGGGAGGCAGCAGUAAGGAAUAUUGGUCAAUGGGCGGAAGCCUGAACCAGCCAUGCCGCGUGCAGGAAGACGGCCCUACGGGUUGUAAACUGCUUUUAUACGGGAAUAAACCCAGAUACGUGUAUCUGGCUGAAUGUAUUGUAAGAAUAAGGAUCGGCUAACUCCGUG
This 482-nucleotide ribosomal RNA is filed under the name uncultured bacterium. Its description in RNAcentral is "partial 16S ribosomal RNA". It matches the Rfam family "Bacterial small subunit ribosomal RNA", at positions 28 to 507 of the family's 1533-position model. The record is from RNAcentral.